UAUGGUCAAGCGAAUAAGCGCACACGGUGGAUGCCUAGGCGGUCAGAGGCGAUGAAGGACGUGGUAGCCUGCGAAAAGUGUCGGGGAGCUGGCAACAAGCUUUGAUCCGGCAAUAUCCGAAUGGGGAAACCCACUGCUUCGGCAGUAUCCUGCAGUGAAUUCAUAGCUGCUGGAAGCGAACCCCGU
Molecule: ribosomal RNA, 186 nt
Filed under: Xanthomonas campestris pv. zinniae
Lineage: Bacteria; Pseudomonadati; Pseudomonadota; Gammaproteobacteria; Lysobacterales; Lysobacteraceae
Description: partial putative 23S ribosomal RNA
Rfam family: Bacterial large subunit ribosomal RNA
Source: RNAcentral